This is a long non-coding RNA of Sarcophilus harrisii (Tasmanian devil), 379 nucleotides long. RefSeq lists it as uncharacterized. The record is from RefSeq and is a predicted model, not a curated record. The transcript is spliced from 3 exons. NCBI's taxonomy places the organism in Eukaryota, Metazoa, Chordata, Mammalia, Dasyuromorphia, Dasyuridae.
AGUAUAUGUUGUAGGAGUAAGGUUGGGAUGUUUAUGUGUGUAUAAUGUGUAUGUUUGGAAUAAAAGGAUGGGUACCUAGAAGGAAAACAAAUAUUACUUGCCUGUAAAAAAUCUUCUUCUUGGCUCUGACACCUCUUUGGAAAGUUAUGCAAAGCAUAUAUGUCAAUAUACUACUCAGCAUACAGAAUAUUUAAGACCCUCUUGGGGAAGUGAUUGAAAAUAAAACCUUUUAGGUAAACACAUCUGUUUCUGAAAAGCAUAAUUUAAGCAGAAGAUUUAAAAUUCAAGUUAUUUCCUAGCAAACAUCUCAUUCUGUGAUUUAGGUGUAUAUAAAGCUGUGAGCAUAUAAUAAAUUCAUAUUCUGAUGAUUUGAUUUAGA